This 73-nucleotide transfer RNA is filed under the name Cryptobacterium curtum DSM 15641. It matches the Rfam family "tRNA". Rfam says of the family: Transfer RNA (tRNA) molecules are approximately 80 nucleotides in length. Their secondary structure includes four short double-helical elements and three loops (D, anti-codon, and T loops). The record is from Rfam by way of RNAcentral. Lineage: Bacteria; Bacillati; Actinomycetota; Coriobacteriia; Eggerthellales; Eggerthellaceae.
GGGUCGUUAGCUCAGUUGGUAGAGCAGAGGACUUUUAAUCCUAAGGUCGGGGGUUCGAGCCCCCCACGACCCA